AGUGAACGCUGGCGGUAGGCCUAACACAUGCAAGUCGAACGGCAGCACAGUAAGAGCUUGCUCUUACGGGUGGCGAGUGGCGGACGGGUGAGGUAUACAUCGGAAUCUACUUUUUCGUGGGGGAUAACGUAGGGAAACUUACUCUAAUACCGCAUACGACGUACGGGUGAAAGCAGGGGAUCUUCUGACCUUGCGCGAUUGUAUGAGCCGAUGUCGGAUUAGCUAGAUGGCGGGGUAAAGGCCCAGCAAGGCGACGAUCCGUAGCUGGUCUGAGAGGAUGAUCAGCCACACUGGAACUGAGACACGGUCCAGACUCCUACGGGAGGCAGCAGUGGGGAAUAUUGGACAAUGGGCGCAAGCCUGAUCCAGCCAUACCGCGUGAGUGAAGAAGGCCUUCGGGUUGUAAAGCCCUUUUGUUGGGAAAGAAAAGCAGCAGGUUAAUACCCCGCUGUUCUGACGGUACCCAAAGAAUAAGCACCGGCUAACUUCGUG
Molecule: ribosomal RNA, 492 nt
Filed under: uncultured bacterium
Lineage: Bacteria
Description: partial 16S ribosomal RNA
Rfam family: Bacterial small subunit ribosomal RNA
Source: RNAcentral